This 496-nucleotide ribosomal RNA is filed under the name uncultured bacterium. RNAcentral's name for it is "partial 16S ribosomal RNA". It matches the Rfam family "Bacterial small subunit ribosomal RNA", at positions 28 to 506 of the family's 1533-position model. The record is from RNAcentral.
GAUGAACGCUGGCGGCGUGCCUAAUACAUGCCAGUCGAGCGAACAGACGAGGAGCUUGCUCCUCUGACGUUAGCGGCGGACGGGUGAGUAACACGUGGAUAACCUACCUAUAAGACUGGGAUAACUUCGGGAAACCGGAGCUAAUACCGGAUAAUAUAUUGAACCGCAUGGUUCAAUAGUGAAAGACGGUUUUGCUGUCACUUAUAGAUGGAUCCGCGCCGCAUUAGCUAGUUGGUAAGGUAACGGCUUACCAAGGCAACGAUGCGUAGCCGACCUGAGAGGGUGAUCGGCCACACUGGAACUGAGACACGGUCCAGACUCCUACGGGAGGCAGCAGUAGGGAAUCUUCCGCAAUGGGCGAAAGCCUGACGGAGCAACGCCGCGGGAGUGAUGAAGGUCUUCGGAUCGUAAAACUCUGUUAUUAGGGAAGAACAAAUGUGUAAGUAACUAUGCACGUCUUGACGGUACCUAAUCAGAAAGCCACGGCUAACUACGU